RNAcentral lists this ribosomal RNA (432 nucleotides) under uncultured bacterium. RNAcentral's name for it is "partial 16S ribosomal RNA". The record is from RNAcentral.
ACGGGCGGAGUGUACAAGACCCGGGAACGUAUUCACCGCGACAUUCUGAUUCGCGAUUACUAGCGAUUCCAGCUUCGUGCAGUCGAGUUGCAGACUGCAGUCCGAACUGAGACGUUAUUUUUGGGAUUUGCUUAACUUCGCAAGUCUCGCUUCCCUUUGUUUACGCCAUUGUAGCACGUGUGUAGCCCUGCCCAUAAGGGGCAUGAUGAUUUGACGUCAUCCCCGCCUUCCUCCAGGUUAUCCCUGGCAGUCUCUCUAAGAGUGGCCACCUUAAAAUGCUGGCUACUAAAGAUAAGGGUUGCGCUCGUUGCGGGACUUAAACCCAACAUCUCACGACACGAGCUGACGACAAACAUGCACCACCUGUCUCCGGUGUCCCCGAAGGAAAAGCAGGCAUUACCCUGCGGUCACCGGGAUGUCAAGGGCAAGUAA